This 450-nucleotide ribosomal RNA is filed under the name uncultured bacterium. RNAcentral's name for it is "partial 16S ribosomal RNA". It matches the Rfam family "Bacterial small subunit ribosomal RNA", at positions 338 to 795 of the family's 1533-position model. The record is from RNAcentral.
CCUACGGGCGGCUGCAGUGAGGAAUAUUGGUCAAUGGGCGCAAGCCUGAACCAGCCAUCCCGCGUGCAGGAAGACGGCCCUAUGGGUUGUAAACUGCUUUUCCAGGGGACGAAUAGUUUCUACGUGUAGAGACCUGACGGUACCUUGGGAAUAAGCAUCGGCUAACUCCGUGCCAGCAGCCGCGGUAAUACGGAGGAUGCAAGCGUUAUCCGGAUUAAUGGGGUUUAAAGCGGAUGUAUAAGUCUUCAUUGAAAUUCUUCAGCUUAACUGUAGAACUGCCAUUGAUACUGUUAGUCGUGAGUUUGGUUAAGGUAGGCGGAAUGUGUAAUGUAGCGGUGAAAUGCUUAGAUAUUACACAGAACACCAAUUGCGAAGGCAGCUUACUGGACCGACACUGACGCUGAGGCACGAAAGCGUGGGGAUCGAACAGGAUUAGAUACCCCUGUAGUC